ACCCUUUAAUGUUUGAUGUUCUAACGUGGACCCGUAAUCCGGGUUGCGGACAGUGUCUGGUGGGUAGUUUGACUGGGGCGGUCUCCUCCUAAAGAGUAACGGAGGAGCACGAAGGUUGGCUAAUCCUGGUCGGACAUCAGGAGGUUAGUGCAAUGGCAUAAGCCAGCUUGACUGCGAGCGUGACGGCGCGAGCAGGUGCGAAAGCAGGUCAUAGUGAUCCGGUGGUUCUGAAUGGAAGGGCCAUCGCUCAACGGAUAAAAGGUACUCCGGGGAUAACAGGCUGAUACCGCCCAAGAGUUCAUAUCGACGGCGGUGUUUGGCACCUCGAUGUCGGCUCAUCACAUCCUGGGGCUGAAGUAGGUCCCAAGGGUAUGGCUGUUCGCCAUUUAAAGUGGUACGCGAGCUGGGUUUAGAACGUCGUGAGACAGUUCGGUCCCUAUCUGCCGUGGGCGCUGGAGAACUGAGGGGGGCUGCUCCUAGUACGAGAGGACCGGAGUGGACGCAUCACUGGUGUUCGGGUUGUCAUGCCAAUGGCACUGCCCGGUAGCUAAAUGCGGAAGAGAUAAGUGCUGAAAGCAUCUAAGCACGAAACUUGCCCCGAGAUGAGUUCUCCCUGAGACUUUAGGUCUCCUGAAGGA
Molecule: ribosomal RNA, 638 nt
Filed under: Salmonella enterica subsp. enterica serovar Newport
Lineage: Bacteria; Pseudomonadati; Pseudomonadota; Gammaproteobacteria; Enterobacterales; Enterobacteriaceae
Description: partial 23S ribosomal RNA
Rfam family: Bacterial large subunit ribosomal RNA
Source: RNAcentral